GACGAACGCUGGCGGCGUGCUUAACACAUGCAAGUCGAACGGAAAGGCCCUGCUUUUGUGGGGUGCUCGAGUGGCGAACGGGUGAGUAACACGUGAGUAACCUGCCCUUGACUUUGGGAUAACUUCAGGAAACUGGGGCUAAUACCGGAUAGGAGCUCCUGCUGCAUGGUGGGGGUUGGAACGUUUCGGCGGUUGGGGAUGGACUGGCGGCUUAUCAGCUUGUUGGUGGGGUAGUGGCUUACCAAGGCUUUGACGGGUAGCCGGCCUGAGAGGGUGAACGGCCACAAUGGGACUGAGAGACGGCCCAGACUCGUACGGGAGGCAGCAGGGGGGAAUAUUGCACAAUGGGCGGAAGCCUGAGGCAGAAACGCCGCGUGCGGGAUGAAGGCCUUGGGGGUGUAAACCGCUGUAGCCUGUGACGAAGCGUGAGUGACGGUAAUGGGUAAAGAAGCACCGGCUAACUACGUG
RNAcentral lists this ribosomal RNA (468 nucleotides) under uncultured bacterium. Its description in RNAcentral is "partial 16S ribosomal RNA". It matches the Rfam family "Bacterial small subunit ribosomal RNA", at positions 28 to 507 of the family's 1533-position model. The record is from RNAcentral.